This 253-nucleotide ribosomal RNA is filed under the name uncultured bacterium. Its description in RNAcentral is "partial 16S ribosomal RNA". It matches the Rfam family "Bacterial small subunit ribosomal RNA", at positions 524 to 776 of the family's 1533-position model. The record is from RNAcentral.
UACGAAGGGGGCUAGCGUUGCUCGGAAUUACUGGGCGUAAAGGGAGCGUAGGCGGAUAGCUAAGUCAGAGGUGAAAGCCCAGGGCUCAACCUUGGAAUUGCCUUUGAUACUGGCUGUCUUGAGUAUGGGAGAGGUGUGUGGAACUCCGAGUGUAGAGGUGAAAUUCGUAGAUAUUCGGAAGAACACCAGUGGCGAAGGCGGGUCUCUGGACAGUUCCUGACGCUGAGGCACGAAGGUCAGGGGAGCAAACGGG